GAUGAACGCUGGCGGCGUGCUUAAUACAUGCAAGUCGAGCGGCAGCACGACCUUCGGGUUGGUGGCGAGCGGCGGACGGCUGAGUAACGCGUAGGAAUAUACCCCAAAGUGAGGGAUAACUGCCCGAAAGGGUGGCUAAUACCGCAUAUGGUCUUCGGACUAAAGGAUUUAUCCGCUUUGGGAAUAGCCUGCGUUCGAUUAGCUUGUUGGUGAGGUAAUGGCUCACCAAGGCGACGAUCGAUAGCUGGUCUGAGAGGAUGACCAGCCAGACUGGAACUGAGACACGGUCCAGACUCCUACGGGAGGCAGCAGUAGGGAAUUUUCCACAAUGGGCGAAAGCCUGAUGGAGCAACGCCGCGUGCAGGAUGAAGGCCUUCGGGUCGUAAACUGCUUUUAUGUGCGAAGGAUAUGACGGUAACACAUGAAUAAGGGUCGGCUAACUACGUGCCAGCAGCCGCGGUAA
RNAcentral lists this ribosomal RNA (463 nucleotides) under uncultured bacterium. Its description in RNAcentral is "partial 16S ribosomal RNA". It matches the Rfam family "Bacterial small subunit ribosomal RNA", at positions 28 to 523 of the family's 1533-position model. The record is from RNAcentral.